This 334-nucleotide unclassified non-coding RNA is filed under the name soil metagenome. RNAcentral describes it as "partial contains 5.8S ribosomal RNA, internal transcribed spacer 2, and large subunit ribosomal RNA". The stretch from base 1 to 120 matches the Rfam family "5.8S ribosomal RNA", at positions 35 to 154 of the family's 154-position model. The record is from RNAcentral.
GAUGAAGAACGUAGCGAAAUGCGAUACGUAAUGUGAAUUGCAGAAUUCAGUGAAUCAUCGAGUCUUUGAACGCACAUUGCGCCCGCCAGCACUCUGGCGGGCAUGCCUGUUCGAGCGUCAUUUCAACCAUCAAGCCCCAGGCUUGCGUUGGAGCCCUGCGGCUGCCGCAGCCUCCUAAAAGCAGUGGCGGGCUCGCUAUCACACCGAGUGCAGUAGUUUACUCUUCGCUCAGGGCGUGCAGCGGGUUCCGGCCGUGAAACCCCCUACUUUUAAAGGUUGACCUCGGAUCAGGUAGGAAUACCCGCUGAACUUAAGCAUAUCAAUAAGCGGAGGA